Molecule: non-coding RNA, 148 nt
Filed under: Gorilla gorilla gorilla (western lowland gorilla)
Lineage: Eukaryota; Metazoa; Chordata; Mammalia; Primates; Hominidae
Source: Rfam by way of RNAcentral
GCUGGGCGUGGUGGUGCGUGCCUGUAAUCCCAGCUACUCAGGGGGCUGAGGCUGGAGAAUCACUUGAACCCAGGAGGUAGAGGUUGCAGUGAGCCGAGAUUAUGCCACUGCACUCCAGCCUGGGUGACAGAGUGAGACUCCGUCUCAA